UACGGAGGGUGCGAGCGUUGUCCGGAAUCACUGGGCGUAAAGGGCGCGUAGGCGGCGCGGGGAGUCAACGGUGAAAGCUCGGCGCUCAACGCCGAGUCGGCCGUCGAUACUCCCGUGCUCGAGCACUGUACGAGGCAGGUGGAAUUCCGGGUGUAGGCGGUGGAAUGGCGUAGAGAUCCGGAAGAACACCGGUGGCGAAGGCGGCCUGCUGGGCAGUAGCUGGACGCUGAGGCGCCGACGCGUGGGGAG
This 249-nucleotide ribosomal RNA is filed under the name uncultured bacterium. Its description in RNAcentral is "partial 16S ribosomal RNA". It matches the Rfam family "Bacterial small subunit ribosomal RNA", at positions 524 to 768 of the family's 1533-position model. The record is from RNAcentral.